This 253-nucleotide ribosomal RNA is filed under the name uncultured bacterium. Its description in RNAcentral is "partial 16S ribosomal RNA". It matches the Rfam family "Bacterial small subunit ribosomal RNA", at positions 524 to 776 of the family's 1533-position model. The record is from RNAcentral.
UACGUAGGGAGCAAGCGUUAUCCGGACUUAUUGGGUGUAAAGGGUGCGUAGACGGGAUUACAAGUUGGUUGUGAAACCCCUCAGCUCAACUGAGGAACUGCAACCAAAACUAUAAUUCUUGAGUGCAGGAGAGGAAAGUGGAAUUCCUAGUGUAGCGGUGAAAUGCGUAGAUAUUAGGAAGAACACCGGUGGCGAAGGCGACUUUCUGGACUGUAACUGACGUUGAGGCACGAAAGUGUGGGGAGCAAACAGG